RNAcentral lists this non-coding RNA (2253 nucleotides) under Homo sapiens (human). The record is from RNAcentral. Lineage: Eukaryota; Metazoa; Chordata; Mammalia; Primates; Hominidae.
AUAGUGAGUGAGUUCGCAGGAGAUCUGGUUGUUUAAAAGUGUGUAGCACUUCCCCCUUCGCUGUCUCUCUCCUGCUCUGCCAUAUGAAGAUGUGCCUGCUUCUUCUUCACUUCUGCCUGAUUGUGAAUUCCCUGAGGCCUCCCUAGCCAUGCUUCCUGCACAGCCUGCAGAACUAUGUGUGGAGAAGCUUUACCGUACACUAAUAUUAACUAUAUGUGUAAGUAAAAGAAGACUUUCACUGUGACCCUGAAAUCUCAUCUUGCUACAUGAAUGAAAUUUGACAAGAAAUUCGAAAUUUGGCAGGAAAAACAUACCCAAGUUAAAAAAUUACACCUUUGUGGAGAGAAUCCACAGACCCUUUGAAGGAACCCGAUCACUGCUGCAGGCUCCCAGAGACACCAGAAAAACUAUGCAGUAUAUUUUAAAUCCUUAAAGAAAUGAUGAAGACAUCCUGAAACAGAGUUCAACGGACUCCUAAUUAUAAACUCUGAGGCAAAUAUAUACAAUAACAUAUUCUAUUUUAAUAAUUCCUUGUCACCAGCCUUGAUUUUAUCUUCUUUUCUUUUACCUCCCUCUGUGAAGAUUCAUUUGGUAUUUCUUUCAUUCAUUAGACUCCUUUACAUUAGGUAUUUCCAUGUAUUUUACAAUGACACUCUGAACUCCCAUCUCUGCUGAAGAUAAUGUUUAGCUACUAUAUCUAGCACUGGAAGCUAUGGCACCUUCAUUUCUGCUGAUCCUUGUCAGAAAAAAAUUACCAGCCUCAGCCAAGAUGUCAGGGGCUUCAUGUGUGGGUUAGCAGUAAAACACACCCAAUAAAUCACCACCAGUGAACUGUCUAAACAAAUCCUUAUUUCAACCCUUUCCUCCAUCUCUUUUGCCUAUAUCUCUCCCCCAGCACUAAGCCUUCCCAUGGAGUUUUCUGUUCCACGUUAAUAUUCCACAUCACCAAUACAGUCACAUCAGCAGAUGACUUCUAAUGGACCUAUGGGCAGGUGAAUAACCUCCUUGUGGGGCUUGGACUUUGGUAACGCAGUAUAUCCUGGGCCUACAAGACAAAAAGCUUAUUCAACCUGCUCAAACUGUGUCUUCGAAAUACAUUUUAGAGAUUAGAGACUUGACUGAUCAUAGCAUGGCACCCUGCCUCUAGUUCCCAUGACUUUCCAGACAGAAUCUGCCUUCUCUAAAACCUCCAGGUAUUUCUGAUGAAAGCCCCCCUUCUAGUGCCUUCUCUAGAAAGAAAAAGUAAUGAUGCCAUUUGUAAAUACUGAACCUUCAAAUAUCAUAGCUCAGCUUCUAGACAGUUUCAAUGGCUGAAAGUCUUCAUUCUUUUAAAGAUUGCUUUGAACUUUAAAAACAGUUAAAAUUCAUUGGGCAUCAGAUUCAGUAAGGUAUUCGUGGUAUAUUGGGCUAUAUCACUUUUGGCCAAAAAUGAGGUGUUAACCAGAAAGAAAUGAAUCUUUAUUUUCUGCUUCAUAAACUGGCCUGUGAAAGCAAUUCUAAAAUGGGAACUUCAAGUGUACUUGGGCUAAUGAAUCACUGGAACAAAAAGUAUGACUUAUUUGAAAUGACCCUACUGAUUUGGAUGCAUAUGUUCUACUUAGUGUGUUUGUUUUAAAAAUCUAAAAGCAAUAAUGUCAUUUGUCAAUUUACAAUAGUAGCCAAAGGUGAAACACUUCUGAUAUUAUUUCUCUCAGUGCUCUAUGUUUCUGGGUUUAUACUGGAAUCUCUAUAAAGGUACACAAAGCUGACUACAAUGGCAAUGAUAGUCAUCUUAGAAAAUGUACUAAUAGAAAAGCAGAGAUCUGUCUUUAAUGGCCACUUUGAAAGCUGCAUUACGACACUUUCGUUCAGUGUUAAACUGCUUCUUCACAGUGUUCAAAUAUAAUAAAUCAGAGAUUAAAGUCAGGCUUCUGAUGAACUUACGUGGUACAAAAAUAUUAAUAUAUGUUUUUGAAGUUUGAAGACACUAAAACAGUUAAUAAUGUGUGAAAUUCCAUUUGCUCAUGUACCCUUCUUUCCAUAUCUCUUUUACACCCUGUACAAAAAUGACAGUUAAUUAACAACCUAGCCCAAGAGAAGUGUUUCUAGUAAUAAACAAAAGCUAUUGUCAAAGAAUAUGAAAUUUACCAUGACCAGAAAAAAAAGAGUACUUUGCAGACAAAUUAAACAGAAAUCUUGCAAUUAAAAUGCUUAAGCUGAUAUAAAAUAUAUCUGUAAUUGCAUAUUAUAAAGAAUUUAAAUCAAUAAUAAAAA